RNAcentral lists this ribosomal RNA (333 nucleotides) under uncultured Methanomicrobiales archaeon. Its description in RNAcentral is "bacterial SSU rRNA". It matches the Rfam family "Archaeal small subunit ribosomal RNA", at positions 1011 to 1338 of the family's 1478-position model. The record is from RNAcentral. Lineage: Archaea; Methanobacteriati; Methanobacteriota; Methanomicrobia; Methanomicrobiales.
GUACUGUGAAGCAUCCUGUUAAGUCAGGCAACGAGCGAGACCCACGCCAACAGUUGCCAGCUCGGUCCUCCGGGAGUGGUGGGGACGACUGUUGGGACCGGCCUCUGCUAAAGAGGAGGAAGGAAUGGGCAACGGUAGGUCAGCAUGCCCCGAAUUAUCUGGGCUACACGCGGGCUACAAUGGGUGGGACAAUGGGUAUCGACACCGAAAGGUGAAGGCAAUCUCCUAAACCCAUCCGUAGUUCGGAUUGUGGGCUGCAACUCGCCCACAUGAAGCUGGAAUCUGUAGUAAUCGUGUCUCAAAAAUGGCACGGUGAAUAUGUCCCUGCUCCUU